RNAcentral lists this ribosomal RNA (464 nucleotides) under Acanthocercus atricollis. RNAcentral describes it as "partial 16S ribosomal RNA". It matches the Rfam family "Bacterial large subunit ribosomal RNA", at positions 1852 to 2591 of the family's 2925-position model. The record is from RNAcentral. Lineage: Eukaryota; Metazoa; Chordata; Lepidosauria; Squamata; Agamidae.
GUAACGCCUGCCCAGUGAGUCUCACUUAAACGGCCGCGACUAAACGUGCAAAGGUAGCGCAAUCACUUGUUCCGUAAAUAGGGACCUGUAUGAACGGCCACAUGAGAAAGAAACUGUCUCUUGAAGAUAGCCAGUGAAACUGAUCUGCUUGUUCAAAAGCAAGCAUAAUUAAGCUAGACAAAAAGACCCUGCGAAACUUAAAGCCAAGCAUUAAACAAACUAAUGCCUAACUUUUAGUUGGGGCAACUAUGAUACACUAAACAUCUUAAAGAUCCUAAACCAACAAGUUAAAACUACUCUAACAGAGAUCCGGCACAGCCGACCAACGAACCAAGCUACUCCAGGGAUAACAGCGCCAAAUUCUUUGAGAGUCCACAUCAACAAGAAUUCUUACGACCUCGAUGUUGGAUCAGGGUAUCCAAACAGCGCAGAAGCUGUUAACGGCUCGUUUGUUCAACGACUAA